UUGAAAGGGAAACGAUUGAAGUCAGUCGUGCUGGCGCGAAAUCAACCUUCUCGUCUUGAGAUCACAUGGCGUGGCGAGCCUCAAAACCGUCACGAAGCGUGAACUCUUGGUGAAAUGGAGCACUUUCGUGUCCGCUGGUUAACAUCAAUUUCGAACGUCAUAAAAAGGCUGGAGGGAUGUGGCUCCUUCGGGAGUGUUAUAACCUUUAGCGGAAUGUGGUGUUCGGGAUUGAGGAUUGCAACGAAUACCUUUAGGGCUGUUCCACCUGGCUUCUCUUUGGUAUCCUGGUGACGACAGCUUGCUGACGUCGUUAGGAUUCGCCUUUGAACAGGCUAGAGUGGUGAGCAAAUUCGUUAAGGAUGUUGACGUA
Molecule: ribosomal RNA, 370 nt
Filed under: uncultured Glomeromycotina
Lineage: Eukaryota; Fungi; Glomeromycota
Description: LSU rRNA
Source: RNAcentral